This 468-nucleotide ribosomal RNA is filed under the name uncultured bacterium. RNAcentral's name for it is "partial 16S ribosomal RNA". It matches the Rfam family "Bacterial small subunit ribosomal RNA", at positions 28 to 507 of the family's 1533-position model. The record is from RNAcentral.
GACGAACGCUGGCGGCGUGCUUAACACAUGCAAGUCGAACGGAAAGGCCCUGCUUUUGUGGUGUGCUCGAGUGGCGAACGUGUUAGUAACACGUUAGUAACCUGCCCUUUACUUUUGUAUAACUUCAGGAAACUUGGGCUAAUACCGGAUAUUAUCUCCUGCUGCAUUGUUGGGUUUGGAAAUUUUAGGCGGUUGGGGAUGGACUCGCGGGUUAUAAUCUUGUUGGUGGGGUAGUGGCUUACCAAGGCUUUGACGGGUAGACGGCCUGAGAGGGUGAACGGAAAAAUAGGGAAUGAGAUAAGGACAAGACUCAUACGGGAGGCAGCAGUGGGGAAUAUUGCACAAUGGGCGGAAGCCUGAUGCAGAAACGACGAGUGAGGGAUGACGGACUUAGGGUUGUAAACAGAUUUCGCCUGUGACGAAGCGUGAGUGACGGUAAUGGGUAAAGAAGCACCGGCUAACUACGUG